GUCUUAAAGAAGUUUUAUUUUAAGUCUAAUCUGCCCACUGAAUUUAUUUAAAGGGCCGCAGUAUAAUUGUGCAAAGGUAGCAUAAUAAUUAGUUUUUUAAUUGGAAACUAGAAUGAAUGAUUGGACGAAAUAUUAACUGUUUUGGUUUUAUGUGUAAAAUUUAUUUUUUUAGUGAAAAAACUAAAAUUAUUUAAAAAGACAAGAAGACCCUAUAGAUCUUUAUAUUAUAAAUUAUGAGUUAACAUUUAUUUUGUAAUAUUAAAUUGGGGUGAUUGAGAAAUUUAAUUAACUUUCUAUGUUUUUUACAGAGAUUAUUGAAUUAUUGAUGUUGAUCUAUUAUUAAGAAUAAAGAAUAAGAUACCUUAGGGAUAACAGCGUAAUUUUAGUUUUAAGUUCGUAUUGAAACUAAAGAUUGCGACCUCGAUGUUGGAUUAAAAUUAAUUUUAAAUGUAGGUGUUUAAUAAUUAGGUCUGUUCGACCUUUGAAUUUUU
Molecule: ribosomal RNA, 491 nt
Filed under: Olinga jeanae
Lineage: Eukaryota; Metazoa; Arthropoda; Insecta; Trichoptera; Conoesucidae
Description: partial 16S ribosomal RNA
Rfam family: Bacterial large subunit ribosomal RNA
Source: RNAcentral